GGUGCCCAAAAUAGGUAUUACGAGGCACCAAAUCCCUAUGACAGGUGGUAUGAUAAUUGUGUUGAGUGGUGCGACCCUCUUUUGUAAAAUCACCCAUGCAUUAAACAUCUUCAUGAUUCACAUACAUAGGGACUCAUUGGGUAGGCUUGUUCUUAUUUUUUGUUUCAAUACAAACCUAGGUGCUCAUAUGGGACACCUUAGGUUUGUC
This 208-nucleotide long non-coding RNA is filed under the name Glycine max (soybean). Its description in RNAcentral is "long non-coding RNA (GMAX_LNC003912)". The record is from RNAcentral. Lineage: Eukaryota; Viridiplantae; Streptophyta; Magnoliopsida; Fabales; Fabaceae.